CAGUUAUACCGAGUUAAUUAUUUUCAAAUAAGUGGAAUCCCAAAAAAUGAUUUAAACGGCAAAAAUAAAGUGUAAAAUUAUAUGAAACAUGAAAAUUGAAAUCCCAUUUUUCAUCAUUUCCUUUUCAUAUAUUGAAUACACUAUUUACACCAACCACUGGUGAAUUAUAUUCGGAUUUCGGUCUUAGGUAUCCGUCCUUGUCUCCGGGAAUAUUAUACCCACACAAGUUGUCAACAUCCGUUUUCAAACUGUUCAAAGUGUUCUUCACAAUCUCCCUGGAAAAUAUUCACGCUAUCACUUCGUGCUCAGAUAAUAGAACAUUGUAAACCUCUAACAGCAAAUGCGGACCAAAAUUAAUCAAAUUUGAAAGCACGGAUGAUCACGUGUAAUGCCGACUGAUGGAGAAAGAUGUUCACUAUGGAUCAAAAAUUCAAAACAGAGGACUUUUUUAUUCAAACAAAAAUACUUGUACAUGUAUGAUAUUCUGUACAUACAACAAGAAAACAGUAAUCAAACAGAAUGUCCAGUGAUGUUGAAAGCAAAAUUAUUUUUGUUAACAGAAAACAAUAGGACUACAAUAUAUUAAGGUACACAACACAUCGUGUAAGAAGAAUAAUUUUACUGGAGGAUAAAAAAUUUAAUACCUGGAAUCAGCAAUUUACAAAAUGUAUACGAAAUUUAUUAAGAGAGAUAUAUUCAUGUACAGAAUGGUAACCCCACCAAAUAACUCAGGUGGUUCAAGUGAUUAUUAGCAGACAUUUUUGUUGAACUAAUGCAGGAUUAAAUAAAUGAAGCUUUAGCAGACUAUGGGCUCCAAAGUGUAGUAAAAAGAGGAUUUUUAAAUAUGACAGACUCAUUUUUGCGCCUGUCCCAAGUCAGGAGCCUCUAGCCUUUGUCAGUCUUGUAUUAUUUUUAAUUUUAGUUUCUUGUGUACAAUUUGGAGUUUAGUAUGGCGUUCAUUAUCACUGAACUAGUAUAUAUAUUUGUUUAGGGGCCAGCUAAAGGACGCCUCCGGGUGCGGGAAUUUCUCGCUGCAUUGAAGACCUGUUGGUGACCUUCUGCUGUUGUCUGUUCUAUGGUCGGGUUGUUGUCUCUUUGACACAUUCCCCAUUUCCAUUCUCAAUUUUAUCAUAAACAUUAAAAUGUGCAUAAGUGAAAUGUUACAAUAUUUAGUAAAAAAUUCAGAUUAUUGA
Molecule: long non-coding RNA, 1193 nt
Organism: Mytilus californianus (California mussel)
Lineage: Eukaryota; Metazoa; Mollusca; Bivalvia; Mytilida; Mytilidae
Exons: 3
Source: RefSeq, a predicted model, not a curated record